AUUGAACGCUGGCGGCAGGCCUAACACAUGCAAGUCGAGCGGAUGAAGGGAGCUUGCUCCUGGAUUCAGCGGCGGACGGGUGAGUAAUGCCUAUGAAUCUGCCUGGUAGUGGGGGAUAACGUCCGGAAACGGGCGCUAAUACCGCAUACGUCCUGAGGGAGAAAGUGGGGGAUCUUCGGACCUCACGCUAUCAGAUGAGCCUAGGUCGGAUUAGCUAGUUGGUGGGGUAAAGGCCUACCAAGGCGACGAUCCGUAACUGGUCUGAGAGGAUGAUCAGGCACACUGGAACUGAGACACGGUCCAGACUCCUACGGGAGGCAGCAGUGGGGAAUAUUGGACAAUGGGCGAAAGCCUGAUCCAGCCAUGCCGCGUGUGUGAAGAAGGUCUUCGGAUUGUAAAGCACUUUAAGUGGGGAGGAAGGGCAGUAAGUUAAUACCUUGCUGUUUUGACGUUACCAACAGAAUAAGCACCGGCUAACUUCGUG
This 484-nucleotide ribosomal RNA is filed under the name uncultured bacterium. RNAcentral describes it as "partial 16S ribosomal RNA". It matches the Rfam family "Bacterial small subunit ribosomal RNA", at positions 30 to 507 of the family's 1533-position model. The record is from RNAcentral.